Molecule: unclassified non-coding RNA, 26 nt
Filed under: Mus musculus (house mouse)
Lineage: Eukaryota; Metazoa; Chordata; Mammalia; Rodentia; Muridae
Description: oocyte_clustered_small_RNA10905
Source: RNAcentral
UGAACUCUGGGUCCUGCCCACACUGU